GAUGAACGCUGGCGGCGUGCCUAAUACAUGCAAGUCGAGCGAACAGAUGAGGAGCUUGCUCCUCUGACGUUAGCGGCGGACGGGUGAGUAACACGUGGAUAACCUACCUAUAAGACUGGGAUAACUUCGGGAAACCGGAGCUAAUACCGGAUAAUAUAUUGAACCGCAUGGUUCAAUAGUGAAAGACGGUUUUGCUGUCACUUAUAGAUGGAUCCGCGCCGCAUUAGCUAGUUGGUAAGGUAACGGCUUACCAAGGCAACGAUGCGUAGCCGACCUGAGAGGGUGAUCGGCCACACUGGAACUGAGACACGGUCCAGACUCCUACGGGAGGCAGCAGUAGGGAAUCUUCCGCAAUGGGCGAAAGCCUGGCGGAGCAACGCCGCGUGAGAGAUGAAGGUCUUCGGAUCGUAAAACUCUGUUAUUAGGGAAGAACAAAUGUGUAAGUAACUAUGCACGUCUUGACGGUACCUAAUCAGAAAGCCACGGCUAACUACGUG
Molecule: ribosomal RNA, 497 nt
Filed under: uncultured bacterium
Lineage: Bacteria
Description: partial 16S ribosomal RNA
Rfam family: Bacterial small subunit ribosomal RNA
Source: RNAcentral